Molecule: ribosomal RNA, 262 nt
Filed under: uncultured bacterium
Lineage: Bacteria
Description: partial 16S ribosomal RNA
Rfam family: Bacterial small subunit ribosomal RNA
Source: RNAcentral
UUAGUGGCGGACGGGUGAGUAUCGCGUGGAAAACCUGCCGUAUACUGGGGGAUAACACUUAGAAAUAGGUGCUAAUACCGCAUAAGCGCACAGCUUCGCAUGAAGCGGUGUGAAAAACUCUGGUGGUAUACGAUGGUUCCGCGUCUGAUUAGCUAGUUGGUGAGGUAACGGCUCACCAAGGCGACGAUACAUAGGGGGACUGAGAGGUCAACCCCCCACAUUGGUACUGAGACACGGACCAAACUCCUACGGGAGGCAGCAG